Molecule: RNA transcript, 5906 nt
Organism: Phodopus roborovskii (desert hamster)
Lineage: Eukaryota; Metazoa; Chordata; Mammalia; Rodentia; Cricetidae
Gene: Mbd1
Gene name: methyl-CpG binding domain protein 1
Exons: 18
Source: RefSeq, a predicted model, not a curated record
CGCCCCUGGAAAGUCACAGUACGCAAGCGCUGGAGCCUCCCCACUCAGGGCAGGCUUGUCAAGACUGCACACAGGUGUGGGUCCUGUUCGGAGCCCAAAAGGCGGCCCGUGGGUUUCCGGUUCCGGGAGUAAUCAACGGCCGCAGAGGCUACAAAACUAGUGCUUUGGUGGAGCCUGCGUUGGAGGAGGAGGAGGAAGAGUGGACCAGGCGGGGCGCCCGGGGCGGGAUCGUCCCCAUGGGUCCACGGGCCUAGCGCGGUGGAAGCUAAGGGCCUCCUGUCCUGCUGGCGUUUCUUCAUUUCUGAAGUACCUAUGGCUGAGGACUGGCAGGACUGCCCAGCCCUGGGCCCUGGUUGGAAGCGACGUGAGGCCUUUCGAAAAUCAGGGGCCUCUUGUGGACGCUCAGACAUCUAUUAUCAGAGCCCCACAGGAGAUAAGAUCCGAAGCAAAGUUGAGCUGACUCGAUACCUCGGCCCUGCGUGUGAUCUUACCCUCUUUGACUUCAGACAAGGCAUCUUGUGCUAUCCAGCUCCCAAGACCCAUCCUGUGGCUGUCCCCAGCAAGAAGAAGAAGAAUAAGAAUAAGAAGAAGCAGCAGCAGCAGCCUUCUACACCAGCCAAGGCUAAGAAAUGUCAGGUUGGACCCCAGAAGAGUGAGGUCAGGAAAGAGACCCAACGGGAUGGGAAUAAGGCUGGCACUGGCACUGGCACUGGUACAGCUCCAGCUUCAUUACCUGCUCCUGGGUGCUGUGAAAAUUGUGGAAUCCACUUCUCAUGGGAUAUCAAAAGGCAGAGGCUCAAGGCAUUGUGCAAAGACUGCCGAGCACAGAGAAUUGCCUUCAACCGAGAACAGAGAAUGUUUAGGAGAGUUGGCUGUGGAGAGUGUACAGCUUGCCUGGUAAAAGAAGACUGUGGGACUUGCUCCAUCUGCCGUCUGCAGCUACCCCAUGAUGUGGCAUCAGGACUCUUCUGCAAGUGUGAGCAGAGACGCUGCCUACGGAUUGUGGAGAAGAGCCGAGGGUGUGGAGUGUGUCGGGGUUGUCAGACCCAAGAAGACUGUGGCUGUUGCCGUGUCUGCCUUCGCCCUUCCCGCCCUGGUGUCAAGCGCCAGUGGAGGUGUAUGCAGCGCCGCUGCUUUUGGCACUUUGCUCAUCGCUUCCGUGACCACCCUCAAGGAUGUCACCGACACCCUCCCCAGGUUGUGGUUGCCCCCACUGGUAAACAUAAGUGUCGUAAGAGUGGCUCGAAGGUGGCUGCCCAGAAUGACUCCCAAGCUCAGCCACUGCCUCCACUUCCUGCAUCCCAGCGCCCACAGCCCACGGAGCUGCACAUCAGCGACCUAGCGCCCACAUCACCUGCUGAGUUCAUCUAUUACUGUGUAGACGAGGACGAGCUACAGCACUACACGAAUCACCGGCAGAACCGCAAGUGCGGGGCCUGUGCAGCCUGCCUACGGCGAAUGGACUGUGGCCACUGCGAUUUCUGCUGCGACAAGCCCAAAUUCGGGGGCAGCAACCAGAAGCGCCAGAAGUGUCGUUGGCGCCAGUGCCUGCAAUUUGCCAUGAAGCGGCUGCUGCCCAGUACUGGGUCAGGGUCUGAGGAGGGAACAGUAUCACCUCCACAUCACCGUUGUCGAAGGAGGCCCCGUUCUUCUGGACAAAUGCAUGCGAGCCCUUCCUUAAAAGCACCUUUGCCUGCUCGUACAGCCCCACCAGGCCCUGCCCAGGUUUCAGCCAGGCAGCGAGCAGGUGGAGACUCUGUGCUGCCCCCACCUGACACAGACCUUGUGUUUUUACGAGAAGGUGCCAGCAGUCCUUUGCAGGUGCCUGGCCCUGCUGCAGCUUCCUCAGAAGCUCCAUUACAGGAGGCCCAGUGCUCUGCCCAGAGUUGGGCUGUGGCCUUGCCUCAGGUGAAGCAAGAGAAGGCCGAUGCUCCAGAGGAGUGGGCAGCAGGCACAGCCUUCCUGACUCCAUCCACCAUGCAGCCUGGCUGCCCUAGCAAGGUUGGGGAGGUAGUAGACCCAGAUCUUGUACCUGUGAAACAAGAGCCCCCUGGCCCUGAGGAGGAUAGAGAAAACAGAGAAGAUUGUGUCUCUGCAUCAACCCCAGAGGAGGAGAUAGGAGGGGUUGGCACACCAGUGAUCACAGAGAUUUUCAGCCUGGGUGGAACCCGCCUUCGGGAUGCAGCAGCCUGGUUGCCAAGGUCCAAGGACCUUAAAAAACCUGAAGCUAAAAUGCAGUAGACUGGAGGCUUCUGCUGACUGUAGGACUGGAGGUGAUAUUUGCAGACCGGCUCUAUGAGAAAGAACCUUGAUCUACCAGGUGCUGGGCCCUGGCCUGGUUACAGAGUUUGUUUGUGAAUCAACCCUAAGAGAAAAACCUACAAGCACAAUCGAGGAACAGGCUGCUCAGUCCUUGAAGCUUAGAGGAAGCAAACUGGAAAGCAAGAGAAAGUGUAGAAGGAUGAAAGAACAUCUGCUCCUCCCAAGAUCUCAGUGCAAUGAAAAGCUGGAUGUAGGGGUAGGGGAAGGAUAUAAUUGAAACCACUACAAACCAUUCAAAAAAGCCAUCUUCUUAACACUUGGUUGGUGGCUUCUGGAUGACACCUGGCAGUGUGUCUGAGCAUUUUCUCAGGGAAACAGCAAUUCAGAUGCUACAGAAUAAAGGAGGAGAAGGCAUUGCUGUUUGGUGUGCUCCUCUUUUGGAGCCACUUCCUGAGCACUCACAGUAGCCCUUAGGAAGCCUGAGUGAUAACUGUGCACUUUUGCAGGUGGGUAAACAGAUUCAGAAGAGAUGAACCCAGUGUUAGACAGCUAGUGUUGGUAGAGUCUAGAAAUACACCAGGCUAUAAAAAGCUUUGUUCUUUAAUCCACUAAACUGUUAACUGCAGUCUUUUGUGCAAUAAUGUAUAUUACAAUAACAGUUUUAGUGACUUUGAAAAUAUCAGUGGAUCACUAUGAACACUGCAAGAUAUCCUUUACACUUUUGCCUCUAUUGUGGUUUAGGGAAUGCUGAGGCUAUGGAUGGAUGGGGUCACCUUCUUGUCAGGGCAUUGGCUCAUCUAGAAUCUAGGUUCCCUGAAGGCCCUAGAUGCUGCAUAGGAUCCCUCAACCCAGAAAUUGUGCUUUUCCCCACUGCUGCUGACAAUUUGCUUGAGCCCAAGUGGUCUCACUUUGGCCAGAGCAGUACUUGGAACUAAAGCUGCCAGCCUGGACCGUCUUUUCCUGGCAGCAUCUUUUCUCUGAUGACCUUUAUGUUUAUUUCCUGCCCCUAGCUCAAAUGUUUGUUAGGAGGCUGAAUUAACUUAUGUACUGAGUCCUGCCCAUGGGCUGAUCUUGGCUCAGCCUUACCUCACUUUCCAUACUUAAAUGCCAAAAAGAAAUAUAAUUGGUUACUUAGCCAGCUUUACUGGGCCAGGACUGAGCGCCUCGUCAUACUUUGUGUCCUGUGUGGCCCGCUUGCUGUAGCCUAGCCCCAGCCCUGCUGCUUUAGGUGAUUUCAGAUGUGGAUUUCUCAUUUCUUAUUUCCAACUUAUAAGGCACAGCUCUUGGCAGCUUCUACUCUUCCUUUGCCCUGAUUUGCCUACUUCUGUCCUGGAGUCAUAUUGCUUUUAACCUCUAGAGCACACCACUUGUCCCUAGUAUUCUGGCAAUUCUGCUGGUGUUCUAAGGGUAACAAUGUCUCUGGUUGGCAUUUGACCUGUGAACAAAGAUUGUGGUCACUAUGUGACUAGGGUGCGAUCAAAAAUCAGAACCACUACAACAAAGAAUAGUGUAUGUGUUUUAAGGGAGUUUUGGGAGACAUUUUACAUAAUUUUGGGAGAUCGUUCAGAAGCCUCUAAGGCUGUCAUUUGUAUGUAAUGCUGGAACUUAAAGUAUUCAGGAGAGGCAGUCGGAAGGGAAGGUGGAUGGACACAUGGGAGCUCAAGAACAAGAGUUGAAAUUCAAGAAGAUGACCUGGAACUAUGUCAGUGUCUAACCACCUCCAGCUUCGAUGACAUUUGUGUCUCGCAGAAGAAGCUAGUGUCCUUCAUCAGAGUGAAGUAACAUCUGGCCUAGGAACUAGAGAAGCUGAAGGAAGAGUCCAGGGAAGUAGCAGCUGAAGGCCUGGCUGCAGGACUUGCUAUUUCCCCACACCAAGCACCUGCACUACUGCAUUACCCAAUGGGUCGGGCGAGGGGCUGAGGAUUUAAAAGAAAAUAAGACAGCAGGUCAUUCAUGCUAAGAGAAUGCCGUUUAUUGAAGGAACAGGGGAGCCUUAUAUACAGGCUUACAGCACAGUGGAAAACCAGGGUUGGAAGUUCCAGUUCUGAUAAGCAGGAGGCGUCUCAGCUGGGGGGUGGAAAGAGGAAUUUACUGUCAGGUCAUCUAGGAAGGAGGGUUGCAGGAUGUUCUAGCACAAUAAGCACUUGAUCAACAAGCUGGUCAGCAGAUCCCCCAGGGGUAGGGCCCAACAGUUUUAUGUGUUACUGUUUCUUAGAGAACUAUUUGGUGGUGGUAACAGUGUUGACUACUGUGGAAAAAUUGGGAUUGUGGGUGGCCAGAUGAAGGUCAGUUUUGUCAUUUCUCUAGGCUUCAGACUGGGGUGAUUGCAGGCUGAGGUAAUGUGCGUGCUACUCAUCUACUUUGCAGCCGCUAAGGUUCCUCCAGGCCUAGGCUGUUUGAGAAGACCAUUGGGUAGCUUACGUGCCAGGCACCCUGGGACAGAGCCUGUACCAGCAGUACCUCCUGGUGUACACAGAAGCCAGCUCCACUCUUCAGAGGAUGGUGAAAGUCUAAACUGGGAGUUUCCUUCCCAGGCUGCUCCUUCCCAGUGCUCUGAGCUCAGGAUGGUUUUGAGCUGCCUGCAGGCAGCCGACUGUCUCCAAGGGUCAGUUUCCCCAGGCUGCCCCAAACUCACCAACAGGUCCUCUGUCUACACAAAUCUCAAGGGUGUGGGGCAGGCAGCCCCAAUCUCUGGUGUCUUUCACAAACCCUCUUGGAGGGGUUUCUUUCCUUCUGUGGAAUGUGUGCUGGGGGUGAGGGGAACCUGCCUAAAAGCCAGCACUUAGAGCCACUCAGAUGAAGGAGCUGCCCCUCGGACAUUGUCGGGAAACCCAGACAUCCUCUAAAUUUUUUUCUUUUUUGUUUGUUUCAGGCUACAUAAACUGUUAGCAGUAAAUGAAAAUGAGUAUUUUACUGAACUGCAGUUGAAAGAAGAAGUACUGUAGGAGAGAAAAACAAUUAUUAUUAAGAGAAGAAAGACAUUCUUUUGUGGCUGAAAAGCUGAACCCGGAAUUCAGGAAAUGGAAUCCAAAUCUAGAGAUGUACCGUAUAGAACAUCUGAAGUGGUUGGGUUCCAAAUAAUUAAGCAUGCAAAUUUGAAGAAAACCGACCUUAAGAGGGUAUACACAUGAGUUACAUUCAGAUUAUUAGUGUCUGUCAGUGGCUGACCUUGUUACUGCCCCUCCCCCAUCUACUUUUCUGUUCUUCUGCCCACCACUUAAGAAUGGGUACCAAAGUAGCUUCAACAUUGUAACUAUCUUACUACCAAUGGGAACUACAGCUCUGGUUCCCAUGUGUGCUGAGGACCAUCCAUUUCCCUGGACUAUGUUGCCAGUUUUGCCUGGGAUCUGAUGUUCAAGGAUUGAGUAGCUGACCUUGUGACCCACAGUCCAGGUCCACACUGAUGCCUCCAUUAAGACUUUAUUGUAUUCAACCUCUAAGACUACUUACUGCCCCACCAGUACAUUUGACCUGCUUGUUUCCUGUGUUCACCUAAAGUCUAAGCCCUGUUUUCUGUUCAGUGCAGUGGGAAGAUGCUGUUCACAGAUAGUACGGGUUGUGUGGCUCUAUAUAGCACUUAAGCUCUUUGAGUUUUAAUGGACUUCACUGUAAAAUAAAGCUAAUGAUACCUUCAGGUCUUUCAA